GACGAACGCUGGCGGCGUGCUUAACACAUGCAAGUCGAACGGAAAGGCCCUGCUUUUGUGGGGUGCUCGAGUUGCGAACGGGUGAGUAACACGUGAGUAACCUGCCCUUGACUUUGGGAUAACUUCAGGAAACUGGGGCUAAUACCGGAUAGGAGCUCCUGCUGCAUGGUGGGGGUUGGAAAGUUUCGGCGGUUGGGGAUGGACUCGCGGCUUAUCAGCUUGUUGGUGGGGUAGUGGCUUACCAAGGCUUUGACGGGUAGCCGGCCUGAGAGGGUGACCGGCCACAUUGGGACUGAGAUACGGCACAGACUCCUACGGGAGGCAGCAGUGGGGAAUAUUGCACAAUGGGCGGAAGGCUGAUGCAGCAACGCCGCGUGCGGGAUGACGGCCUUCGGGUUGUAAACCGCUUUCGCCUGUGACGAAGCGUGAGUGACGGUAAUGGGUAAAGAAGCACCGGCUAACUACGUG
RNAcentral lists this ribosomal RNA (468 nucleotides) under uncultured bacterium. Its description in RNAcentral is "partial 16S ribosomal RNA". It matches the Rfam family "Bacterial small subunit ribosomal RNA", at positions 28 to 507 of the family's 1533-position model. The record is from RNAcentral.